AUGAACGCUAGCGGCAGGCCUAACACAUGCAAGUCGAGGGGCAGCACAGGUAGCAAUACUGGGUGGCGACCGGCGGAUGGGUGCGUAACGCGUAUGCAACCUACCAUUGAUUGGGGCAUAGCCCGAAGAAAUUCGGAUUAAUACUCCAUAAUAUUCAUCAAAGGCAUCUUUUAAUGAAUUAAAGCUUUUGCGAUCAAUGAUGGGCAUGCGUGACAUUAGUUAGUUGGUGAGGUAACGGCUCACCAAAACGAUGAUGUCUAGGGGUUCUGAGAGGAUUAUCCCCCACACUGGUACUGAGACACGGACCAGACUCCUACGGGAGGCAGCAGUGAGGAAUAUUGGUCAAUGGACGCAAGUCUGAACCAGCCAUGCCGCGUGCAGGAUGACGGCCCUAUGGGUUGUAAACUGCUUUUCCACGGGAAGAACCCUCCGACGUGUCGGAGACUGACGGUACCGUGGGAAUAAGCAUCGGCUAACUCCGUG
RNAcentral lists this ribosomal RNA (483 nucleotides) under uncultured bacterium. RNAcentral describes it as "bacterial SSU rRNA". It matches the Rfam family "Bacterial small subunit ribosomal RNA", at positions 29 to 507 of the family's 1533-position model. The record is from RNAcentral.